GUGCAGGGCGGAGCUACCAUGCAGUCGAGCGGUAACAGAUCCAGCUUGCUGGAUGCUGACGAGCGGCGGACGGGUGAGUAAUGCAUAGGAAUCUGCCCGAUAGUGGGGGAUAACCUGGGGAAACCCAGGCUAAUACCGCAUACGUCCUACGGGAGAAAGGGGGCUCCGGCUCCCGCUAUGGGAUGAGCCUAUGUCGGAUUAGCUAGUUGGUGAGGUAACGGCUCACCAAGGCCACGAUCCGUAGCUGGUCUGAGAGGAUGAUCAGCCACAUCGGGACUGAGACACGGCCCGAACUCCUACGGGAGGCAGCAGUGGGGAAUAUUGGACAAUGGGGGAAACCCUGAUCCAGCCAUGCCGCGUGUGUGAAGAAGGCCCUCGGGUUGUAAAGCACUUUCAGCGAGGAAGAACGCCUAGCGGUUAAUACCCGCUAGGAAAGACAUCACUCGCAGAAGAAGCACCGGCUAACUCCGUGCCAGCAGCCGCGGUAAUACGGAGGGUGCAAGCGUUAAUCGGAAUUACUGGG
RNAcentral lists this ribosomal RNA (523 nucleotides) under Halomonas sp. Its description in RNAcentral is "bacterial SSU rRNA". It matches the Rfam family "Bacterial small subunit ribosomal RNA", at positions 37 to 558 of the family's 1533-position model. The record is from RNAcentral. Lineage: Bacteria; Pseudomonadati; Pseudomonadota; Gammaproteobacteria; Oceanospirillales; Halomonadaceae.